GUGGAUAUAACUCAGUUGGUAAGAGUAUUAGGUUGUGGUUCUAAGAGUCACAGGUUCAAAUCCUGUUAUUCGCC
RNAcentral lists this transfer RNA (74 nucleotides) under Phaeodactylum tricornutum. RNAcentral describes it as "tRNA-His". It matches the Rfam family "tRNA". Rfam says of the family: Transfer RNA (tRNA) molecules are approximately 80 nucleotides in length. Their secondary structure includes four short double-helical elements and three loops (D, anti-codon, and T loops). The record is from RNAcentral. Lineage: Eukaryota; Bacillariophyta; Bacillariophyceae; Surirellales; Neidiaceae.